UCCUAGUUAGCUUAGUUGGCGGAGCACUCCACUGGAAAUGGAGAGAACCCUGGUUCGAUAACAGGACCAGGCG
Ixodes scapularis (black-legged tick) is the source of this 73-nucleotide non-coding RNA. Lineage: Eukaryota; Metazoa; Arthropoda; Arachnida; Ixodida; Ixodidae. The record is from Rfam.